Molecule: ribosomal RNA, 276 nt
Filed under: uncultured bacterium
Lineage: Bacteria
Description: partial 16S ribosomal RNA
Rfam family: Bacterial small subunit ribosomal RNA
Source: RNAcentral
CCGUUGCCGGCGACCGGCGCACGGGUGAGUAACACGUAUGCAACCUGCCCGUGGCAGGGGGAUAAGCGGGGGAAACCCCGUCUAAUACCGCGUAACGCGGCCUAGGGAUAUCCCAAGGCCGCCAAAGGGAGCAAUCCCGGCCACGGAUGGGCAUGCGGCGCAUUAGCUAGUCGGCGGGGUAACGGCCCACCGAGGCGACGAUGCGUAGGGGUUCUGAGAGGAAGGCCCCCCACACUGGUACUGAGACACGGACCAGACUCCUACGGAAGGCAGCAG